UUCCGUAUCUAAACUACCGCGUUAUUAUUUUCCUGCCUAGUAUUUUGUUAGUACAAUAUAUAGUACACAAUAUAUAGUGCACAAAAUAAUUUAUUACGGUUGUGGCAAACAACAGUUAACUGGUGUCACUGCUACAAAAGUUUAACAUUAUUUAGCCAAACUUGUGUUGUGAAUGUAUUACACUGAAAUAAAUAAUAAAAUCACUUCAGGCUAUAUAAAAAAAAAGAUUGUCAAAAUUAAAUGAUAUCGUAGCUUUCGUCCAUUCGAAACCUAAAUUGGGCGGAGACAAAACAAAAUACAGAAAAAAACUUAUUUUGUAAUAAAUGAGGCAAUAAAAUUAGUUAUAGGUAUCUAAUUUCUUAAUUUAUUUACUUGAAUGAAAAUAAAUUUGCCAUUAGAAUCAUCAUUUGUUGAUAACCGCCGUUCUAACAAAAUGUAAAACUCAGAUUAACGUAUAUUUCCGUAUACAUAGCCUACUUUAGCAAAAUAUCUCCAGAGUGACGUCACAAAUUGCUAGCCAGUGAAAGAGAAAGGUGCGCAAAAGGAUACAUAUAUAACUUCACGAUGAUUCACCCGUUAUGUUCACAGUUGACAGAACAGAAGAACGAAUGAAUAUCAAGCAAUGAUUUGUGUAACAUUUUCUUAAGUGUUAUGAGUACGUAAUAAAUAUUCUCGCAGAAACUGUAUGGUGUUAUGUAGGCUGAAGUAUCUAUUUAUUCGAUUUUUUAUUUAUUAGAAAACAAUUUGAUCCGAUUUCCGCAUAGUAGACGCAGCGUCGCACUGCGUGGCUGCGACUGGUUGAUAAUCGCUGGCUCCUCUGUGACAUUGUGGGCAUUGGUGAAUCAAGCUUGUCGUGAAUGUCAGUGCGCUUGCAAACUGACUCCCCUGCUGCAGCUCAUACACCGGUCGUCACUGGAUUCUGAUGUACUUUGUAAUAAUUAAGAUAGUUUCUGAACCAGAACAGUUGAUAAGCUAUGGUCCUGAAUCAAAAAAGGUAAAUUUAAAAUGUGUCGUAACUUUAUCUUUGAGCCUCAUUUAGAAAAUGUUAACAUACUCACCUUUCAUUGUUAGGUACAUAUUUUUUUACACAAUCCCGCAUAACCCUGCAAGUUAUAAAAAUUCUUCCAAUGUAUGAAUUUCCCAAUUACAUACAUAUUGAUAAUGCCGAAUGUGGACUUUAUAUAUAUACACACAUGCAUACUUACACAUAUAUGUAUAAUAAUUGAAAGAAAAUGUUUGCUUCAAUGUCUCCCCUAUAAAUAAUAAAUGAAUUACCUAUAUGAUUAAAUAUCCGUGUUCUUAGUGGAUAUAACUAGGAAAAUCUGCAUAAUUUGUAUGUAUUUUGGUAGUUAUUAAAAAAGUACAAUUAAACUUACAAUAUUAUGAAUUGUCAUACCUCUAAUGUUAAAUUUUACUCUUGUACCGAUAGCACACUGUAUCUAAGUAACAUAAUUAAGAUGUCACAGAUAUAAUAUUUAAUACUUACUAAUUUUAUUCGACAAUGUGUUUCCGAUUCAUUUGACUUCUUGCAAAUGGGUUAUAAAUUAAGUAUAACUCCAGAGACGUACCAAAUUAGGUUACCUUGAGAAACUCAUGACGUCAGCGUGUAUGGUUUAUGUGUUAGGGAAAAUUUAUUCAAAUACUGUGUAUUAAAAAAGUGCAUGACAUGGUA
This is a long non-coding RNA of Bacillus rossius redtenbacheri, 1672 nucleotides long. RefSeq lists it as uncharacterized. Lineage: Eukaryota; Metazoa; Arthropoda; Insecta; Phasmatodea; Bacillidae. The transcript is spliced from 2 exons. The record is from RefSeq and is a predicted model, not a curated record.